RNAcentral lists this ribosomal RNA (332 nucleotides) under uncultured Russula. Its description in RNAcentral is "eukaryotic LSU rRNA". The record is from RNAcentral. Lineage: Eukaryota; Fungi; Basidiomycota; Agaricomycetes; Russulales; Russulaceae.
GUGUCGUGAAUUCUUCAAAACCCUUUUUUCUUCGAACCAUCGUGGUCGGGAAAAGGAUUUUUGGACUUGGAGGUUUAAUGCUCGCCCUUUCUUUUGAAAGCGAGCUCCUCUCAAAUGAAUUAGUGGGGUCCGCUUUGCUGAUCCUUGACGUGAUAAAUGUUUCUUACGUUUUGGGUUUAGCACUGUCGCUUGAAUGCCUGCUCCUAACCCGUCUCAUUGACAAUGAUGGUGCUCUGGUCACCGCCGUCUACAUCGGCGGGAGGCUGGACCCACAAAAAGAAAAACCUUGACCUCAAAUCGGGUGAGACUACCCGCUGAACUUAAGCAUAUCA